AUGCAGUUCGAGCGGACCGAACGGAAGCUUGCUUCUGUUCGGUUAGCGGCGGACGGGUGAGUAACACGUGGGUAACCUGCCCGUAAGACCGGGAUAACUCCGGGAAACCGGGGCUAAUACCGGAUAACACCGAAGACCGCAUGGUCUUCGGUUGAAAGGUGGCUUUUGCUACCACUUACGGAUGGGCCCGCGGCGCAUUAGCUAGUUGGUGAGGUAACGGCUCACCAAGGCGACGAUGCGUAGCCGGCCUGAGAGGGUGACCGGCCACACUGGGACUGAGACACGGCCCAGACUCCUACGGGAGGCAGCAGUAGGGAAUCUUCCGCAAUGGACGAAAGUCUGACGGAGCGACGCCGCGUGAGCGAAGAAGGUCUUCGGAUCGUAAAGCUCUGUUGUUAGGGAAGAAGAAGUACCGUUCGAAUAGGGCGGUACGGUGACGGUACCUAACGAGAAAGCCCCGGCUAACUACGUGCCAGCAGCCGCGGUAAUACGUAGGGGGCGAGCGUUGUCCGGAAUUAUUGGGCGUAAAGCGCGCGCAGGCGGUCCCUUAAGUCUGAUGUGAAAGCCCACGGCUCAACCGUGGAGGGUCAUUGGAAACUGGGGGACUUGAGUGCAGAAGAGGAGAGCGGAAUUCCACGUGUAGCGGUGAAAUGCGUAGAGAUGUGGAGGAACACCAGUGGCGAAGGCGGCUCUCUGGUCUGUAACUGACGCUGAGGCGCGAAAGCGUGGGGAGCAAACAGGAUUAGAUACCCUGGUAGUCCACGCCGUAAACGAUGAGUGCUAAGUGUUAGAGGGGUUUUCCCUUUAGUGCUGUAGCUAACGCGUUAAGCACUCCGCCUGGGGAGUACGGCCGCAAGCUUGAAACUCAAAGGAAUUGACCGGGGCCCGCACAGCGGGUGGAGCAUGUGGUUUAAUUCGAAGCAACGCGAAGAACCUUACCAGGUCUUGACAUCCCCUGACAACCCUGGAGACAGGGCGUUCCCCCUUCGGGGGGACAGGGUGACAGGUGGUGCAUGGUUGUCGUCAGCUCGUGUCGUGAGAUGUUGGGUUAAGUCCCGCAACGAGCGCAACCCUCGCCCCUAGUUGCCAGCAUUCAGUUGGGCACUCUAGGGGGACUGCCGGUGACAAACCGGAGGAAGGUGGGGAUGACGUCAAAUCAUCAUGCCCCUUAUGACCUGGGCUACACGUGCUACAAUGGGCGGUACAAAGGGCUGCGAACCCGCGAGGGGGAGCGAAUCCCAAAAAGCCGCUCUCAGUUCGGAUUGCAGGCUGCAACUCGCCUGCAUGAAGCCGGAAUCGCUAGUAAUCGCG
This 1311-nucleotide ribosomal RNA is filed under the name Parageobacillus toebii. RNAcentral describes it as "bacterial SSU rRNA". It matches the Rfam family "Bacterial small subunit ribosomal RNA", at positions 55 to 1346 of the family's 1533-position model. The record is from RNAcentral. Lineage: Bacteria; Bacillati; Bacillota; Bacilli; Caryophanales; Anoxybacillaceae.